This 1006-nucleotide ribosomal RNA is filed under the name Bambusicola splendida. Its description in RNAcentral is "SSU rRNA". It matches the Rfam family "Eukaryotic small subunit ribosomal RNA", at positions 87 to 1103 of the family's 1831-position model. The record is from RNAcentral. Lineage: Eukaryota; Fungi; Ascomycota; Dothideomycetes; Pleosporales; Bambusicolaceae.
CUGCGAAUGGCUCAUUAAAUCAGUUAUCGUUUAUUUGAUAGUACCUUACUACUUGGAUAACCGUGGUAAUUCUAGAGCUAAUACAUGCUGAAAACCCCGACUUCGGGAGGGGUGUAUUUAUUAGAUAAAAAACCAAUGCCCUUCGGGGCUCCUUGGUGAUCCAUAAUAACUUCUCAGAUCGCAUGGCCUUGCGCCGGCGACGGUUCAUUCAAAUUUCUGCCCUAUCAACUUUCGAUGGUAAGGUAUUGGCUUACCAUGGUUUCAACGGGUAACGGGGAAUUAGGGUUCGAUUCCGGAGAAGGAGCCUGAGAAACGGCUCCUACAUCCAAGGAAGGCAGCAGGCGCGCAAAUUACCCAAUCCCGACACGGGGAGGUAGUGACAAUAAAUACUGAUACAGGGCUCUUUUGGGUCUUGUAAUUGGAAUGAGUACAAUUUAAACCUCUUAACGAGGAACAAUUGGAGGGCAAGUCUGGUGCCAGCAGCCGCGGUAAUUCCAGCUCCAAUAGCGUAUAUUAAAGUUGUUGCAGUUAAAAAGCUCGUAGUUGAACCUUUGGCCUGGCUGGCAGGUCCGCCUCACCGCGUGUACUUGUCCGGCCGGGCCUUUUCUUCUGGAGAACCGCAUGCCCUUCACUGGGUGUGUUGGGGACCAGGACUUUUACUUUGAAAAAAUUAGAGUGUUCAAAGCAGGCCUUUGCUCGAAUACGUUAGCAUGGAAUAAUAGAAUAGGACGUGCGGUCCUAUUUUGUUGGUUUCUAGGACCGCCGUAAUGAUUAAUAGGACAGUCGGGGGCAUCAGUAUUCAAUUGUCAGAGGUGAAAUUCUUGGAUUUAUUGAAGACUAACUACUGCGAAAGCAUUUGCCAAGGAUGUUUUCAUUAAUCAGUGAACGAAAGUUAGGGGAUCGAAGACGAUCAGAUACCGUCGUAGUCUUAACCAUAAACUAUGCCGACUAGGGAUCGGGCGGUGUUUCAAUUUUGACCCGCUCGGCACCUUACGAGAAAUCAAAG